UAGAAAUCCACAGAACAGUAACUGCAAGAGAAUUCCAGAACCCCUAAGCUCAGCUCAGUGGAAGCUAAGCAAUUGGACAAAGCCAUCUAAACCCAAAGCAAUGGCUCGAUGGAGUUCACCAGGGAGGAUCUUGCUCUGAUCUAAAUAUACAGUGGAAAUCUGAUGUGAUCUACAUGAAUUUCCCUCAACCUUAAGAAGAGAUGGAAUGUUCAUAAUGAGGAAGAAGUCUUCUGAUUUUCUAAAUAGGUAAUCACAACACAGAAGAGUGAAGAAGGACACAGGCUCUUAGCCACCAUGGCCUAAAACUGUCCCACACCUCUUCAACUCACAUCCUACUGUCCACAACCAGUCAUCAGUCAUGUGCAACGUUCACACAUAAAAGCCCUGGAAAAUGAAGGCCAGUGAUUUGCCUAGGAAAAGUAGAUGAAGAGAGCAGACUGGCCUUACCUUUGAAUAACCCUAAGCAAGUUAUCAACCUGUCUUAACCUACUUCUUCUUCUAAAAGAUGGGAAUAACAACACCAGCAUCCUUCUAGUGUGUGAAAGUUCAAACAAAAUGAAGCAAAAUCUUCACAGAGUAUCUGACAAUGGAAAUGAUGUUAGACAAAAAGUGAAUUCAGCAGUUUUCUUAUUUGAAUUCAAAAUGGGUCAUAAAGCAGUGAAGACAACUUGCAACAUCAACAAUACAUUUGGCCCAGGAACUACUAAUGAACCUACAGUAUAGUGGUGGUUCAAGAAGUUUCAUAAAGGAGACAGCCUUGAAGAUAAGGAGCACAGUGGUCGGCCAUUGAAGUUGACAACAACCAGUUGAGAGCAAUCAUCGAAGCAGAUCCUCUGACAACUACACGAGAAGUUGCCGAAGAACUCAUCGUUGACCAUUUUAUGAUUGUUCGGCAUUUGAAGCAAAUUGGAAAGGUGAAAAAGCUUAAUAAGUGGGUGUUAGGAUCACCUAAGCAGACCAUUCCCUUCCCCUCCCACAGGCCUUACAAUACAGUCUCUUGCGCUCUCCACACAGUCACCCCAGGGCAAAAGACAAACCCCCCACUUCACUGACCCCUCCACUAACUGUUUGUCCAGGCAGUUACAGGAUGCCAUUAACGUCUGUUCACCUCACAUAACAAAGCUGGCAAAAAACAUCUCCAGGAUGCGGACAAGACACUUGCAUCCCCGAAUCAGCUCCCCGACCCUGACCCAGUUCCUCAUCCUAUAAAGCCCUGCUGUAGUCUGUAAGUGUGGCUGCCUCCUCUGCUUUUGUCAGGAGGUAGCCCGGCAGGACUG
This 1277-nucleotide long non-coding RNA is filed under the name Homo sapiens (human). RNAcentral's name for it is "HSALNT0294453". Lineage: Eukaryota; Metazoa; Chordata; Mammalia; Primates; Hominidae. The record is from RNAcentral.